Mastomys coucha (southern multimammate mouse) is the source of this 379-nucleotide long non-coding RNA. RefSeq lists it as uncharacterized. The transcript has 2 exons. The record is from RefSeq and is a predicted model, not a curated record. Lineage: Eukaryota; Metazoa; Chordata; Mammalia; Rodentia; Muridae.
CAUUCAUCUCUCUAUGUUUCCUGAAGGCACACGCCACUAGCUGCUCCAUGAUCCUGCCACUGCCUCUGUUUGUCCUUCUGUGUCGCGACCGGUCUCGCCAGCAAGAAUGACGCCGCAACAGGAUCCUUCUCAGCAGCACUUUAUUGGGAGCUCCUCUUGAAGUUUGAAGCGAAGGACCCCGAUAUCCUGGAGCUGCUGGCUUAUAUAGCCGAGCGAAAAUAUAUACAAGUAGAGUCACCAAGGAGACAAAUCUCUGAACCUGCUCCUGAGAGAUUAUCUAGACUAGCUUAGUUGAGACAAGAAGAUUCACCAUACAUGAGUGGUGUGGUUCAUGGGCCGGGCUCCUGGAAAGAACAAAAAUAAAGCAAGUUGAAAGACA